This 76-nucleotide transfer RNA is filed under the name Brucella pseudintermedia. It matches the Rfam family "tRNA". Rfam says of the family: Transfer RNA (tRNA) molecules are approximately 80 nucleotides in length. Their secondary structure includes four short double-helical elements and three loops (D, anti-codon, and T loops). RNAcentral also lists the same sequence under 1 other name. The record is from RNAcentral. Lineage: Bacteria; Pseudomonadati; Pseudomonadota; Alphaproteobacteria; Hyphomicrobiales; Brucellaceae.
AGCAGAGUAGAGAAGCAGCUAUCUCAUCUGGUUCAUACCCAGAAGAUCGCAGGUGCAAGUCCUGCCUCUGCAACCA